GGGGAUCGAAAGACCUCGCGUCUAAAGAGGAGCCUGCGGCGGAUUAGCUAGUUGGUAAGGUAACGGCUUACCAAGGCAACGAUCCGUAGCCGGCCUGAGAGGGCGGUCGGCCACACUGACACUGACAUACGGGUCAGACUCCUACGGGAGGCAGCAGUCGGGAAUUUUGGGCAAUGGGCGAAAGCCUGACCCAGCAACGCCGCGUGAAGGAUGAAAUCCCUCGGGAUGUAAACUUCACAAGAACGGGAAGAAUAAGUAGGGGACAAUACCCCCUAUGAUGACGGUACCGUUUGUAAGCUCCGGCUAACUCCGUGCCAGCAGCCGCGGUAAUACGGGGGGAGCAAGCGUUGUUCGGAUUUACUGGGCGUAAAGGGCGCGUAGGCGGCCACCGCAAGUCAAUUGUGAAAUCCCCGGGCUUAACUCGGAAAGGUCAACUGAUACUGCGGGGCUAGAGUGCGGAAGGGGCAACUGGAAUUCUCGGUGUAGCGGUGAAAUGCGUAGAUAUCGAGAGGAACACCUGCGGCGAAGGCGGGUUGCUGGGCCGACACUGACGCUGAGGCGCGAAAGCCAGGGGAGCGAACGGGAUUAGAUACCCCGGUAGUCCUGGCCUUAAACGAUGAAUGCUUGGUGUCUGGGGUUAUAAAGUCCCCGGGUGCCGUCGCUAACGCUUUAAGCAUUCCGCCUGGGGAGUACGGUCGCAAGACUGAAACUCAAAGGAAUUGACGG
This 726-nucleotide ribosomal RNA is filed under the name uncultured bacterium. RNAcentral describes it as "bacterial SSU rRNA". It matches the Rfam family "Bacterial small subunit ribosomal RNA", at positions 195 to 916 of the family's 1533-position model. The record is from RNAcentral.